GUGCUCAUUUCAGCAGCCCUUAUACUAAAAUUGGAAUGAUUCAGAGAAGAUUAGCAUGGCCCCUGAGCAAGGGAGCCAUGCAAAUUCAUGAAGCUUUCCACAUUUUU
Ornithorhynchus anatinus (platypus) is the source of this 107-nucleotide non-coding RNA. The record is from Rfam. NCBI's taxonomy places the organism in Eukaryota, Metazoa, Chordata, Mammalia, Monotremata, Ornithorhynchidae.